RNAcentral lists this ribosomal RNA (507 nucleotides) under uncultured bacterium. RNAcentral's name for it is "partial 16S ribosomal RNA". It matches the Rfam family "Bacterial small subunit ribosomal RNA", at positions 28 to 507 of the family's 1533-position model. The record is from RNAcentral.
GACGAACGCUGGCGGCGUGCCUAAUACAUGCAAGUCGAACGCAUUUUCUUUCACCGUAGCUUGCUACACCGAAAGAAAAUGAGUGGCGAACGGGUGAGUAACACGUGGGUAACCUGCCCAUCAGCGGGGGAUAACACUUGGAAACAGGUGCUAAUACCGCAUAAUUCCAUUUACCGCAUGGUAAAUGGAUGAAAGGCGCUUUUGCGUCACUGAUGGAUGGACCCGCGGUGCAUUAGCUAGUUGGUGGGGUAACGGCCUACCAAGGCUGCGAUGCAUAGCCGACCUGGGAGGGUGAUCGGCCACACUGGGACUGAGACACGGCCCAGACUCCUACGGGAGGCAGCAGUAGGGAAUCUUCGGCAAUGGACGCAAGUCUGACCGAGCAACGCCGCGUGAGUGAAGAAGGUUUUCGGAUCGUAAAACUCUGUUGUUAGAGAAGAACAAGGAUGGGAGUGGAAAGUUCAUCCCUUGACGGUAUCUAACCAGAAAGCCACGGCUAACUACGUG